This is a non-coding RNA of Paramormyrops kingsleyae, 5390 nucleotides long. The record is from RefSeq and is a predicted model, not a curated record. NCBI's taxonomy places the organism in Eukaryota, Metazoa, Chordata, Actinopteri, Osteoglossiformes, Mormyridae.
UGCACAGCCCACAAAUUUUGUUAGGCUUUGUAGGGUCCACUAACUUUUAACUUGGAUUUGUUCAAUAAUUGUAAGUAAUUGCAAAUUCAAAUGUAAUUAAUGCUAAGUCAGAAAUUAAUUGUUUUUUUUUUUUACUCAGCUUACUCUCUUUGGAUUUUAUAUUGGAACCCCAAAGUAGUUCUGAACAUCUCAGAUGCAGAGUAUUUAUAAUAAUAAUGCAGUCUAACCAGACAGGGCCUCAAGGAGCACAUAGAGAAAUAUCUGUAAUGACAAUGAUUGCAUUAACGUUUAUCUAUUGAAGGAAGAUUUUAAAGGCACAACAAACCACUUCAUUAUGAAUAAUUGCAGUCUGCACAGUCAUUUACUUUAAAUUUAUUAGAUUCUUUAUAUCAUGUUGUACAGUACACCUCACAGACUUGCAUAGCAAUAAUCAAUACUAAUAACCUCACAAAUGGUCAUACUCAUUGGAUCGGAGCAUAUGCCCAUUUUCUCUGUUGGAAGAAGUUAUUGUCCUGAUCAAACCAUUGUGUCCACAGGGGGAGAAGGGAAAGAAAGGCAAAAAAGGGCCUAAGGGGGAGAAAGGAGAACAGGGUGCCCCUGGAUUAGAUGCACCCUGCCCAUUGGGUCCGGACGGGCUCCCGAUGCCGGGGUGCUGGCAGAAGUGAUGAAAUCUAACCGAAACGCAUGGAGUUUGUAAAUAACGCCUCAUUUUUUUUUUUUUUUUGUAUUUAUAGUUUUUUAAAUUGAACAUAAAGAUUAUAUGAAUAUAUAAAGAACGCUCAUGAAGUUUACACGUAGCUGCUUCUACUCACCUGACGUAACAAGUGUUUGUCUUACAUCGGCGUUUUGGAGUCGGGGUACUUGGGGCAACCGCCUGGGCCGUGCCAGUUACCAUAGCUAGCAUGAGCCAAGGGCAAGGACUAGACUGGAUGUUAAGACCAAAACGGACUUACAGGGAGUCAGGAAGAGACGCUGGAGGGACUGGACUAACUACCACAUGGGAUAACAGACAUUGUCAUUUGUUCAUCUCAAGCAUUCAUUUCAAGUUCUUCAUCCCUCCAUGCCACACUACCAGCUCAAAAGACUAAAACAUUCAUGCCAACAAAAAUACAAAAAAAAUGAGCAUGAGUACUGUGCCAAACUAGGCGAAUAUAUGUAUGGAUAUACAUAUUGCUUUGUGGUGUGAUCCUAUUUAUGGCUUUCGAAACACUAACUGGCUGACGGUUCAUUCCAGCUUACUUAAAACAGAAGUACAAAGCUCUGAGUUUGUGAUCUUUUUUUUUCCUUUUGUCAUCUUCCAAAGGGAGUCACACCUUGGCUGGUGGCUUGAACAGAUUUGAUCACCAGGCAAUAGAGACGGGUCAUUCUUUUUCUUUAUUGUGGCGAUGCCCUCAAAGUUGGAGAUGCACGCUCCCCCUGGGCCAGCUCUCGUGCCGUGCUGGGUUUGCCGAGGAGCCCAUGUCCACUUACAACACGGUGUUGCAAACAGCACCAGUCAUUGGCUUAGGAGGGAGAUGUGGGCGUUUCACAGCCCUGUGUACAGCCUAUCAGAGUGUGGACUAAGUUCAGCAUCGACUUGGACCAUCGCUCUUUGGGGAAAGAUAGGUAAAUGUACCCUCGAUGCAGAAUUCCUCAGUGAGGGAAAGAGGCGUGUCACAGGAUGAAGUCCACAGUCAUCUCUUCAGAUACCAAAUAGGCCUCUUCAAUGAACUUUGGUCUUUGCUGAGAUACCUGAGUUUGAAUGUAGGGGGAAACAUCAAUACAAUCUACUGAGAUGAUGUCAAUGGAACUAUUAUUUUAAAUGUCUUUUUUUGCCAUUGUUAUUGUUUGAAUUUUUUUGUUGUUCAUUCCCUUUGUUGGAAAUACAAAUAUUUUAACAUGCUUUGAGUAAUAAGUACAGUCUGAUUAUUGAAGAAUGAUAAUCUAGUUAUGUACAAUACUACAGUAUUAAACCACAGUUGUAUUUGGUGUUUUAUGUUAUGAACAAUUAUUAUUUUUUGUUUGUUCAUUUGACGUACUAAAUGUUUUCAGCAGAGAUAGUUCCCAUAUACGGUAAUUUACAUUGAUCAUGGAGACUGACAAGAAACAUAGAUUACAAACUUGUAUGGAUUUUUAUCAAAAGUAUAAUUGGAAAAAAAUAUUUUUCGCUGAAAUAUAAAAUAGUGUGUCGCAGUUAAUGCCAAGAGCUCCGCAUCUGAAUUUUGUUAAUCGCUACAAUUAGGAUUAAUCCAGCCUUUGUUCAUUUUGUCGCAGAGAAUGUGCAGACUAUCUUCAACGUUAGUGUGUAACUGUAUAGAGACGUCACUUUUAAGGAAUGAGGAAGAUUUCUGAAAAGCUAUUUUAUUUCCACAGUAUGAGUUUCAGUUUACUGCUUUGGAACACAAGGGAGAAGUUGACCUUGACCUUGCAGCAAGCCGAACAUUAUUUAGUUUUAUUUUUUUGCUGUCCAAAAUGCAAUUCCUGGCUUUACACCUACAGUAAACAAGAUUUCAACAGAAACUGUACAGUUUCAAAAAAUUGGUCCUUUGAAGGCUAGUUUAAAGCAGCGGAAGAAUGUAUUGCAUUAAUCACAGUUCUUUUCAUAUGUGAGGAAGUUGUGUCUCAAUAGCACAGUGUCAAAAUGGUCCACCAGACCAUUCUGAAUUAGGGGAUUUAAUCAAAGUUUCAAUGGUACAUUUUAAUGGUACAGUCUUUUUGGACAGCAACUGACAAGGGUCAGUCAGAGUGGGAUGUUAAUGGUAGAUAUUCCAUACAUUAAUAUUACUCCAGAGAGGACAAAAUUAAUCAAUUUAAUGAGUGGAUUUUGACUCAUACUGAAGCUAGUUUUGCAUGGCAAAUUUGUUACCUUACAUUCCAGUGCAGGCUGUAGGUUGUUUAUUUCAGUUAAGUAUAAUCAUCUUACACCUUCAACAUUUUUUGUUUAAUUUGACCAUUUUAACUGUUUUAGCCAUGUCAAUCACCUGAAAGCAAACAGCCAUACUGACACAAUGGAAAUAACAGCAUGUAGUAAUUGUUCUUAAUGCCUGCACACCAUUUUCGCAUUAAAACUGAAGCAUAAAUGUACAAAUAAUGCUUAAAAUAAUGCUAAACUUUGAUGUUCAGUAAAUUUGAUUACUUUGUAUAUGCUUUACCAUGGUUCAAUGACUGAAUGACGCAUUCUUUCGGCAAUAUCGUUUUCCUUUUCGAUGUAAAUGUUUUUUUUUUUAAGCCUGAAAUGAUUUUCUUCUUUGGUGUUAGUAAUGGUGCUACCAGCUUCAGAAAGGCACUGAAGGAAAUGUCCUAGGUAUAACCAUUAAUCUAUCAGGCAAAGGAUAUUGUGUGUGUGCGUGUUUACGAUAAUUUAGCGUAUUGCAUAUACUUUUAUAUUUGUAUUGUGACUUUAAAUGGUACAUUAUUUAUUUUUAUACGUAUUCAUCAUAUUGGUUUUAAUCAGGCAUUCCUUGUGACAUGGGGUAUUCAAGGUCCUUAUACCAGCACGUUUAUUUCUGUUUCCUAAUUUAAUUUAUCAGAGUCUAUGGAAAUGACCUCACAUUUGGAAAGGACACACAUGCAUCCUAAACUGCUAUUUUACUGUAAUCGAAUAAUACAGUAAUUCACCGUUCUCUUGUGGAGUAAUCUGAUUGUUGGUGAAGGACACAUUAGAAUGAUGUGGUCAAUAUUCAUUAUGUAUUGCAUAACGUUAUACAGAGCAUUUUAUGUCCAAUAUUGGUUUGACUUUUGUACCGUCAACAUAAUUAACUGUAGACGUUGAAUAUUAUACAUUGAAUAAAAGGUAUAUUGCUGUGGAGGUUGCAUCACAUGACCAAGGUCAUAUGAUUUAUCAAUUCAAUGACAGUGAGAGUCUUCCAGCUCUAGGUUUGUCGUGGAAACUCAGCUGUAUGGUUUCUGGGUGGGUUCUACAUUUCCAUUGUUAUGAAUUAUGGGUACAGCUUUGGCAUUUCUUCAACAACUCUGCGUGGUACUCCUGUGUGAAAACAAAGACUGGUCCACCAUUCAAAACCAGGCAUUUUCCCAUUACAUACACACACAUAUAUAUAAUGCCAUGUAUCUGCCCAAUACACAAUUAUAGGCAAAUUCCAGAGUUUCAAACUGUUUUUUUUUCUUGGAGCAUUAAUAAAUCACCUGUAACUGUCUAGGAUAAUGAUAAAUCACCUACACAGACAUUUUUUUGUUGAGACAGUGGUUCUUCUGUUGUGUACUGAUUUCUCUUUUAUUUCAAUUUCAUUCUUUGUCUUGGAAUUGAAUGUAGAUUUUGAACUUGUCGAGGUACAGAUAUGUGACUCAGUAUUCAUUAAUGUGAGGGAAGAAAAGACAAACAUGGGAGUGUCUUGUACAUAUUUACCUGAUUACAUGAAUACCAUACAUUCUCAACUGCAGCUGCAUUUGUACAUACAAUUGUAAUUACAGUUGUGUUACACUCACUGUAUCAUUGUUUGGUGAAAAGGUAAUUGCAUUUGGUUGUGAAGGUUAGCUCUUACAAUUAAAGUCACCAGCCAAUUUGUUUGCUUUCUGGGCCUUUGUAAUUCUGGCUCCUCACAAAGAUCCAUCCUCAGCACAACCGAAUUUAAUUCUACGCCUUCCUUCACUGGAAUUUCCCUGAUGCAUUUAUUGAAUUGUCUGCCAGUCUUUCUGAACUUCACACCAAGUAAGGUCCCUGACAACCUCGGGGUAAUCUGCAUGACAAAAAUAGAGUUGUGUGUUGAAUUUUAUCACCGUUUGCCUACAAUAUGUUCCGCUGUUUCUAUGUGAGUCCCCUGCCACCACCCCCCUUCCAUUAACAUUAUAUAACGUUUUGUUAUAAUUCACUACUGCAGCAGAAUUUGAGCUGUCUGAUUUUUUCUCCAUUGGUGUUAUUCCUCUUAAUAGUAUUUCCUUUGGCAGUAAUCCAAAGCUCAGAAUUUGUAUUUAAUGUUGUCGUUCCCAAUGCUGUUCUCUGGCUGUGAACCUUGUGCAUGCUGGUACACAUCAUCACACUGUAAAAUGUCCAUAUCCAGAGAUCUAUGGUGAGUAUUCAGACUUUUGAGUUCUCAGUUCAUAUAAAGUGCAUUCAGAGCUGAGGAUAAUGAUCUGUGAACUUAGUCUUGGCCACGUUGUUAGAGCUGAAGGCCACGCUGUGCAAACAAGGUGACACAUGAAUGUCAUUUUUCUGUCCAACGUAACUCUUUAAAAGUUUUGUUUUAGGGUCUUGGGUUGAGCACUCAGUUUAUUUUCCUUCUUUGUAUUUGGUUUAAUUUGUUAUCAACAUCCAUCUUUUUCGUUUUCAUUCUUAAUGUUUGUAUUUUUCGGUUUGCUGAUGCUUCCAGAUUUGGCAAUUAUUUCACAUUAUUUCAGAGGCAUUUCAUGAGGCUGUACUGUUGGAACCAAAUAAAUUCACUUUUACAUCUUUCAAA